RNAcentral lists this ribosomal RNA (411 nucleotides) under uncultured Cardiobacterium sp. RNAcentral's name for it is "bacterial SSU rRNA". It matches the Rfam family "Bacterial small subunit ribosomal RNA", at positions 338 to 742 of the family's 1533-position model. The record is from RNAcentral. Lineage: Bacteria; Pseudomonadati; Pseudomonadota; Gammaproteobacteria; Cardiobacteriales; Cardiobacteriaceae.
CCUACGGGAGGCAGCAGUGGGGAAUAUUGGACAAUGGGGGGAACCCUGAUCCAGCAAUGCCGCGUGUGUGAAGAAGGCCUUCGGGUUGUAAAGCACUUUCAGUAGGGAGGAAAGGUGCGUAGUUAAUACCUGCGCAAUUGACGUUACCUACAGAAGAAGCACCGGCUAACUCCGUGCCAGCAGCCGCGGUAAUACGGAGGGUGCGAGCGUUAUUCGGAAUUACUGGGCGUAAAGCGCACGCAGGCGGUUGCCCAAGUCAGAUGUGAAAGCCCCGGGCUUAACCUGGGAACUGCAUUUGAAACUGGGCGACUAGAGUAUGAAAGAGGAAAGCGGAAUUUCCAGUGUAGCAGUGAAAUGCGUAGAUAUUGGAAGGAACACCGAUGGCGAAGGCAGCUUUCUGGGUCGAUACUG